CUGUAACCUGUACACUGCAGCUUUCACCUGCCCUGAUUGCCUGUGGAUUCCACUUCUCUUUCUCCUCGAUCCUCUGCCGAACCGGAAGGAAGGAUUAUGGAGGAGGGAUCAUGGAGGAGCUAUAGCCGAGGAUGCAGAGAGCAGCUUUCCCGGGAAGCCGUGCAGCUGAAGGAGUCGCUAACUCCGCCCAAACAGCUGACGGAUUCAUGAGAAGCACCUGAAGUACUCCGAUCAUUUACUGCAGUAAAAGUGAAAAGCCCUGCAUACUGUCAGCUUAACACUUUAGGCAUGUGAACAAGUGUGUGUGUGUGUGUGUGUGUGUGUGUGAAUCAGAAUCAGAAUAUCUUUAUUGUCAAUGUAACAUACAACGAAAUGAAGUGCAGUCCUCGUCAGUGCCAAACAUCUAUGAGAGCCUGCUCUCCAAACCAGUCUCCUUUAGCGAGUGUCUUCACGAUCACCUGCUCGUCCCCAGGCACCCCUAGCAUUCGCCUACGCUGCCUUUGCCACAGGCCGGCCGUGCAUGCAUCAGGAAAACGUUCCAGGGGCGGGAGUGAGACGGGACACACAGGAAGAAACUCAUACGAAGAGUCCAGGGACAGUCGCUGAGGCAGGCACACAGAGGAGAGAAAAGGAGCUCCACAGUUUAAGCGGCAUCGAGGAAGACUUAUGGACGAAUGGGAGUUUAUUAAUCAGAACAGAGAACUACACUGUGCAGG
Perca flavescens (yellow perch) is the source of this 716-nucleotide long non-coding RNA. RefSeq lists it as uncharacterized. The transcript is spliced from 6 exons. Lineage: Eukaryota; Metazoa; Chordata; Actinopteri; Perciformes; Percidae. The record is from RefSeq and is a predicted model, not a curated record.